UACGUAGGGGGCAAGCGUUGUCCGGAUUUAUUGGGCGUAAAGCGCUCGCAGGUGGUUCGUUGCGUCGUGCGUGAAAGACCCCGGCUCAACUGGGGAGUGUCGUGCGAUACGGGCGGACUGGAGGCCAGUAGGGGGAUGCGGAAUUCCGGGUGGUAGUGGUGGAAUGCGUAGAGAUCCGGAGGAACACCAGCGGCGAAGGCGGCAUCCUGGACUGGUCCUGACACUCAGGAGCGAAAGCGUGGGGAGCGAGCCGG
This 254-nucleotide ribosomal RNA is filed under the name uncultured bacterium. RNAcentral's name for it is "partial 16S ribosomal RNA". It matches the Rfam family "Bacterial small subunit ribosomal RNA", at positions 524 to 776 of the family's 1533-position model. The record is from RNAcentral.